RNAcentral lists this long non-coding RNA (1397 nucleotides) under Helianthus annuus (common sunflower). RNAcentral describes it as "hypothetical non coding rna". The record is from RNAcentral. Lineage: Eukaryota; Viridiplantae; Streptophyta; Magnoliopsida; Asterales; Asteraceae.
AUAUUGCUCCAAAGUGACUGAUUCGUUAUGUCCUAAUACCCCCCGUCAAUGCAGGGCGGCGGUGGUCCAAGACGAAGCAUUAUGCGAAAUUUUUCAAACAACGGUUUUGGUAGAAUUUUGGUGAAAAUGUCCGCUACUUGUUUAUCCGUUGAGAUGAAUUUGGGGUGAAGUUUUCCGGCAGCUACCAACUCACGAAUAAAGUGAUAGUCGAUGUCGAUGUGCUUGGCUCUUUUAUGUGAGAUCGGGUUUUGACUUAAAAAUAAGGCACUCUUGUUGUCACAUAAUAAGGUGGGGCGUCCUCGUGGUAGAGCAUGAAGUUCCCGAAGCAAGUGUGUUACCCAAAUAAUUUCUGCUGUCGUAUUCGCCAUUGCUCUAUAUUCUGACUCACAACUUGACAGGGAAAUCGUUGGUUGCUUUUUGGCGCUCCAAGAGACUAAGUUCCCUCCUAAAUAGAUACAGUAGCCGUAUCUGGAUCUUCGUGUGUCGAUACAUCGUACCCAAUCUGCAUCUGAAAAACCUAAUAAAUUAGUGUUAGGAGGUGGAUCAAAUGUUAGACCAUGUGAUAAGGUGCCUUUAACAUAACGAAUAAUCCUUUUGACUAGCUGGAAAUGAUUGGUGGUGGGAUUUUAAAGGUAUUGGCUACCUUGGUUAACGGCGUACAAGAGAUUAGGACGAGUGAUGGUGAGAUAUUGUAGAGCGCCCACGAGUGAUCGAUAAAGAGUGGGAUCAUGGAAUGUUUGGCCUUGAGAAGUGAAAACAUCUUUAGAUGUGAGAGGAGUGGCAACCGGUUUUGAUUCAAGUAGGCCGGCUCGGGUGAGGAUGUCAUGAGCGUAUUUGGAUUGAUUUAGGAAGAGGCCCGUUUUUGUGUGAUGAACUUCUAAACCAAGAAAGAAGUUAAGCAAUCCAAGGUCCUUAAUUUUGAAUUCCUUGUUUAGACAUGAUGUAAAGUUGCUAAUGAAAGGUUCAUUAUUCCCGGUAAGAAUGAUGUCGUCAACAUAAACGAGGAGAUAAAUUAAGAUGCCUCGGUGAUUGUAAAUGAACAAAGAUAGAUCGGCUCGACUGUUUUGAAAGCCACGGUUGAGUAGAAAAGCACUUAGGCGAUGGAACCACGCACGUGGGGCUUGUUUUAAGCAAUAAAGAGCACAAUUUAGUUUGCACACAUGCGUUGGACGUUUGGAAUCUUCAAAACCCGGAGGUUGUUCCAUGAAGAUAGUUUCGGUUCCAUUUGUUGAUAGUGGCAAGACCAAGGACAACACGGAUGGUGGCAGAUUUGAUGACAGGACUAAAGGUCUGUGAGAAAUCAAGUCCCGGUAUUUGAGUGAAACCUUGAGCAACAAGUCGGGCUUUGUAGCGAUCAAUAGAUCCGUCGGACUUAUAUUUAAUUCUAUAUAUCCAUU